GCUUACGGCCACACCGCCUGGUUCACGCCCGAUCUCGUUUGAUCUCGGAAGCUAUGAUAGGGUGGGCCUGGUUAGUACUUCGAUGGGAGACCGCCUGGGAAUACCAGGUGCUGUAAGAU
RNAcentral lists this ribosomal RNA (119 nucleotides) under Scophthalmus maximus (turbot). The record is from RNAcentral. Lineage: Eukaryota; Metazoa; Chordata; Actinopteri; Pleuronectiformes; Scophthalmidae.